AGAUUGAACGCUGGCGGCAGGCCUAACACAUGCAAGUCGAGCGGCAGCACGGGUACUUGUACCUGGUGGCGAGCGGCGGACGGGUGAGUAAUGCCUAGGAAUCUGCCUGAUAGUGGGGGAUAACGUUCGGAAACGGACGCUAAUACCGCAUACGUCCUACGGGAGAAAGUGGGGGAUCUUCGGACCUCACGCUAUCAGAUGAGCCUAGGUCGGAUUAGCUAGUUGGUAGGGUAAAGGCCUACCAAGGCUACGAUCCGUAACUGGUCUGAGAGGAUGAUCAGUCACACUGGAACUGAGACACGGUCCAGACUCCUACGGGAGGCAGCAGUGGGGAAUAUUGGACAAUGGGCGAAAGCCUGAUCCAGCCAUGCCGCGUGUGUGAAGAAGGUCUUCGGAUUGUAAAGCACUUUAAGUGGAGAAGGCAUUAACCUAAUACGUUAGUGUUUUGACGUUACGACAGAAUAAGCUAACCGGCUAACUCUAGUGCCAGCAGCCG
Molecule: ribosomal RNA, 496 nt
Filed under: uncultured soil bacterium
Lineage: Bacteria
Description: bacterial SSU rRNA
Rfam family: Bacterial small subunit ribosomal RNA
Source: RNAcentral